UCAGGUGACUAUAGCAUCAGGGUUCCACCUCUUCCCAUUCCGAACAGAGAAGUUAAGCCUGAUCACGCCGAUGGUACUGCGUAACAGUGGGAGA
This 94-nucleotide ribosomal RNA is filed under the name Bacteroides fragilis. The record is from RNAcentral. Lineage: Bacteria; Pseudomonadati; Bacteroidota; Bacteroidia; Bacteroidales; Bacteroidaceae.